GAGUUUGAUCCUGGCUCAGGACGAACGCUGGCGGCGUGCCUAAUGCAUGCAAGUCGAACGCAGCAGGCGUGCCUGGCCGCGUGGCGAACGGCUGAGGAACACGUGGGUAACCUGCCCCAGAGUGGGGGAUACCCCAUCGAAAGACGGGACAAUCCCGCAUACGCUCUUUGGAGGAAAGCCAUACGGCGCUCUGGGAGGGGCCUGCGGCCCAUCAGGUAGUUGGUGUGGUAACGGCGCACCAAGCCAAUGACGGGUACCCGGUCUGAGAGGACGACCGGGCAGACUGGGUGUGCGACGCGGCCCAGACUCCUACGGGAGGCAGCAGCAAGGAAUUUUCCCCAAUGGGCGCAAGCCUGAGGGAGCGACGCCGCGUGGAGGACGACGGCCUUCGGGUUGUAAACUCCUUUCGGGUGGGACGAAGCCGACGGUACCACCAGAAGCAGCCCCGGCUAACUCUGUGCCAGCAGCCGCGGUAAGACAGAGGGGGCAAGCGUUGUCCGGAGUUACUGGGCGUAAAGGGCGCGCAGGCGGUGGGCUGCGUCGGCGCUGAAAGCGCCCCGCUUAACGGGGCGAGGUGCGCCGAUACGAGUUCACUCGAGGCAAGCAGAGGGUGGCGGAAUUCCGGGUGGAGCGGUGAAAUGCGUAGAGAUCCGGAGGAACGCCGGUGGGGAAGCCGGCCACCUGGGCUUGACCUGACGCUGCGGCGCGACAGCGUGGGGAGCAAACCGGAUUAGAUACCCGGGUAGUCCACGCCGUAAACGAUGCCGGCUCGGCGUCUGGCGCACGUUAGUGUGCUGGGUGCCUUAGCUCACGCGGUAAGCCGCC
RNAcentral lists this ribosomal RNA (825 nucleotides) under uncultured bacterium. RNAcentral's name for it is "bacterial SSU rRNA". It matches the Rfam family "Bacterial small subunit ribosomal RNA", at positions 9 to 873 of the family's 1533-position model. The record is from RNAcentral.